UUGUCGCCCCUUAUGGGCCUGGCCCAAUUUCGUGUACCUUGCUCCCUCACCCAACGAAAGAAGGAAGAAUCAUCAGGUAGAGAAUAGCGAAUAGGGUCGCCUCUAGGUUUCCCCGCCGCCACUCAACCGGUCGAUCUACGGCGGCCAGCGGCGCAUACCUUCUCCGACGGGAGGAACGCAACCCUCGUCCCGCGGUGGCGUUGCAACUUGGACGCCGCCCCUUAUGGUCUCGGCCCACUGUAGCCGGAUCCCUGCACGGCCGCCGCCGGAUCCUUGCACGCUGCUGCAGCCGGAGCUCCGCACGGCCGCCGCCGGAUCCCUACACGCCGCCAUUGCUACAGCCCACCCAUACCCUGCACCCUGCAUCAGGCUCGAUGAACCACCCCUCCACGCUCUACACCACGGACACCUCCACCGUCAACCACAACACCAACCUCUACGGCUCCCACAUUCUACGUGGACCUCCAGAACCUCGGCGGCCAUGGUGCGCCUGCCUUGUGCUAAAAAACUGCUCAACAACAGUGACAUGUACGUGUUCCAAAGGGCACCUCGCUGACAUGAUCAAGGCCUGCACUAUCAGCCAUUUGGUUUAGUGUGACUCGCAUGACGCAAUUGUGCGUCGGCGAGGAGGACCAAGCAAGAAGUGGACUGUCAGCCUUCGAAUUUCCUGUGAUCCUUGGCGUCGAAAAGAUGCCACCCCAGACUGUCUCUGCACUACAGGUACACCAAUGAUCUUAUGGUGGCUACGUACUUACAUGUGUACCAUUUUAAGUGGCGCUUAUAUGUGGUUCAACACAAUGUUUUUAGAAAGUUGCAGUUUUUCAGACUAACAACUCAAUCAACAAUUCUAAAUAGUGAGGCUUUGGUGAUUCUGCAAACACCGUUUCUAGGUGCUUGCCAGUGACUGAAGUUAGUGCAUCCAAAGGUCGAUGCAAUAAUAUGUUUGCAUUAUGUAUUUGCAUAGACAAACAAAUUCCAUGAAUUGAGCUCAUCAUGCGUGUGCAUGGCAUUUCCCCUUUUUGAAACCAAGGCAAGAGCACUGUUAUUCAGUUACUGAGUGGUAGAAGUGAUAAUGAAAAGUGUAUUUACGAAACACAAGACCUGCUUGUAGGGUGAAGAUUCUCAAGUUGAGUAUCAUAUUCCUUUGCUAUGCUGCAUUUCCGAUGCCAACAUUUAUUAUCUAGCUCGCGACUAAAGGGGAAGCAAUAACUGGCGUCAACACUUUUAAGGUCAGAGCAUAUACGAGGAUAUAUGUACUCAUGCCACAACUGAGAUUUUGCUAGAGUAUCUUAUAAGUACUAUAUUAUAGGGCAACCAACAUCUUUUUUCCCAAAAUUUUGAGGUAUGCUAAGAAUUAACGUGGGGCUGACACGUGUACACUUUAUAUCUUUGAAUUUCUGCUGGGUUUUAUAUGUGUACACAUUUGGUGUUCCUUACAAAUUUUAAGAAACGCUUUGGGUCUGUGUGGCACCGCUCGUGUGAGUUUGGGUUCACAUGGUUGAUCUUUUUCUCAGUGCAUGUAGCAGCCUAGGGUUGGGCCCCAAUCUUCGAUUCCCGUGCAGUCAAAGCGGCGUGGUUCCACGAUUACCGCUUAACUGCAUCUGCUUCAUUCUCUUCCCCAUCUCUCCCGGAUUGACCUUCAGUGACUUUGUGUCACUUACAAGUGGGACCACGUGGGAUCCACAUAAUGAAGGGUUCCACUUGACCCCAUUUGUAAGUGACGUGACUUUGUGGGCUGACAAAGUCACUGAAGCUCAAUCCAGCCUACACGACCAUCCUCGUGGUAUGCUCCCUGCACCAUGUCACUCUUUCUCUCUAGGCGGUGGCUUGGUCCGCGGUCGGCUGGUGGCGGCUCGUGGAGGCAGAGGAUAGAGGGCUGGGCAGCGGCUGCGACGGGGAGACCCUACGCGGUGUGGUUCCAGUCUUCCAGAGCGACCAAGAGCGCUGAAGGGAGGCAGGCGGAGGUGGUGGAGACCGUGGUGGCAUUCACUGGCGAGGAUCGAGGCUGAUCCAUUGGCGGAAGAAAGGCACCGGAGUCGACCGGUGGCAACGGACGCGGCGGUGCCUCACCUCCAAUCGAGUAGUCCAUCCUCCUUGGAUGGCCUGGCGGUAAGCCGUUUGAGAUCGUGGAUUUCGCCGCUACUACAGCUGCGGUGGCGUUUUCACAUAAACAACCAGCUUGGAGAGUGUCGUACCGGGUGCAGAGUCUGGUCCUCCCCGACUGUCAGCAGCAGCAAGGCACUGAAUACCAUUAGAAUCGAGCUGAUCGCUCUUCUUUUCUUUCACAUCAGAGAUACCUUCAACCAGAGGCAGGUAGACUUCACCUCUGCUCUUUCUAUUUUAUCCGUUUCUUGCUGUGUUGGCAUUCGAGAAAAGUUGAGGUAUGUGCUUCAGUGAGGCUUUUUGCUAAAGAUAGUAAUGCCCCUCGCAAGUUCGUAUCCCAUUACCUCUUUGUGUUUUACUUUGGUGGUUAAAAAUUGAGAUGUCAGCAUUACCACACGAGAAGAGCAGCAGACACCACCAAGAAUAGUAGGAAUUUGGCAUGUCGCAAUAAUGCUUAACUCGCACUUCAUUUUUUCUUUUAAUAAUCGCGCUCACCGUCAGUUCACAGCUGAAGCAAUAUUCUCAUAUGUUGUGUUAACAUCUUCUAUCAUGGUGUACUAUGACAUGUAUAUAUAUACUAGUAAGUGUGCACGUGCAACACACGUCUUAUAAUUUAAAUACAACCAUAUCAUUUGAAUUUUAUAUAUUGUUCUGGCGAGUUUUUUGGGAGUCAAAUAGAGGUUUUCUUCGAAGGUUUAUCCACAAUCAUACAAUUUGUGGAAUUUUUAUUCUUUCAUCUUGAUGUCUUGAUUCCUGAUAUCAUCAUCAUCAUCAUCUUAUUCUGAAUCCGACUAAGAUGAUGACUAAUUUUCUUCAAAAAUGAAUGUGUCAUAUGGACCUAUGAAGUGGUAAUCCGAGUUAGUUUUCAAAUAAUGAUAUAAUGUAAAAUAUGUAUGACGAUACAUAGCAAGAUAUAUUUAUUAAAGACUGUCAGAUCCCAAGACCACAAGAUGACAUGCAUGAUUAUGAUUUUUUUGACAAAUUUAACAUCCGGACACCACAAGUUGACAUGCAUGAUUACGACGAAUCUUUGACAAAUUUUAAUACUGCCCACAUCUAUAAAAAGAUGUCUCAACUCUGGCAAAAUUUGCAUGUAUCUACUCACUGAAAUACAUCUAGAUAAAUGCAUAUUUGAUAUCAUUGAAACAUCUUUUUAUGGACAAAGGUAGUAUAUUCUGUCGGAAAUAUUCAAAAUCAUCAAACAAUUAUGACAGAACAUCUUUUUUCAAACACUUGUAAAUUGUCACACACCUCCGACCGUACAAAACGAUCUUUCUUUGUUUGAAACUGUACAAAACGAUCCUACAGCACACACCCGAAUCAGCACUCCUAAUAAUCUUCAAAAAGAACUGGACAACACUCCCCACUCUGUAGCUCUCUCUCCCACCAACUGUACCUGCUACCUCCCACCGCCCCCGCAAGAUCCCCUGCUCGCCAGCUCCCUCGGUUGACCUCAUCGGGCCGUCCUCCCCUUCAUCCCACCGCAGACGUUAGGACUCGUACACCCCCUGCUCUUCGCCGCCUCUCCUCAUCGAAUCCGUUCAUCGAAGAGUCCGGGGAGGCGCUGCCACUCGGCAUGCUCGCGGCCUCGCCGGCGACCCAGAGCUAGGGGCCGACGGAGGCGGACGCGGAGGCGCGCGCCUCGUAUCCACCGGAUAGGAAGCUGCGGACACCACGUGUUGGAGGGCUUCACAACGCUGGCCGUCCCCCUGCAGAAACAGCCGAUGAGUCGGAGCAAUCACCGAGGGACGCCGUCGAGGACGCCCUGCUCCAGCGGGCUGCCCAUGUGGCGAGCGUUCUGGGCACCACCAAACCAGCAUCGUGUGCAGGUACUUCAAUCCUGUUUGGCGGUUCAUUCGAGUGGAUACCUUGGUGAAAUCCCACGUGGAAUUUCCAAAAAUCUUAUGUUCUACCUAUAUCCUAUGUUCAGCAAGCUGUUGUUGGCAGGAGGCCAGCCCUGCCAAUAUUGGGGACUGGCUUCGCCACUAUAGAUGGAAAUGUGGGGAUGCAGGACCCAGUUGUCAAGGGAACCCCGCCUUGGAGGACCAGUACGCCGUCGAGCUGGGUGCAGGAGACGGGCGGGUGCAGUGGACCUGCCGCCGGUUGGAAGGUGCAGGGCGGCGGUGUCCUGGAAUACAUCGUCGUGGAGGACAGCAUCGUCCUGGAACACGGCAUCGACGUGAAGGCAGGUCGGCAACGUCCUGAAACACGACGGUGUUGGGACGGGCGGCAGAGUUGGAGGUAGAGUGGUGGCGUCAUGGAGGACGGGCAGCGGUGUUUCGCCAGCCCCUCUUCCGACCUCGCUCUUUCUUCCAUGGAGGCCGGCGUCUGGCUCCGAGCCGCGUCGAUGCCGGUGAGCCUGCUGUUUCAGCACAUCUGUCGCCUCCGCCUCCGUUUCCUCCCGCCGUCCCCUCUUCCGACCUCGCCGAUUCGAUCGAAUCUGGCAUCAGUUUUCGAGGAGGAACCCAAGGCAGCAGGACGGCAUGGAUGUUGUCAUGUUGGUCAGGUACCGGCGCGUGGGGAGGCGGCGUGGCAGGGGCUCUCGCGUGGAAGAACAUGGGAAUCUGGUACUGCAGAUCGUGCGAGGCAGUUUGCUUUCUCCGUGGACUGGGCGUGGGUGGGAAUUUUUGUUCGCUCGGCGGACCAUGGCAGACAAUACAUCAUUGGAACGAUCUGAGGCAUUGGAUCUAGGUCUGUGAACGGUGUAGAUCGUUUGGAUGGGACUCUCUUUGCCUUUUAAUAGUAGUGGUGAUAUAUGAAGUGAAGCGAUAAUGCAGACAACUCAAGAGUAGAGGCAUUUGCCAUUUGGACUUGUGGAGUAGAGAUUACAGCGAUUUUAUGGUGUUAUUUGAAUAUCGAGUGUUCAUUUCUUGAUUGAAACGUCUCUGUAAAAGCUGAUUUUUGGAUUCACUAAUUUAACCAGCAAAUACGUUUCCACAAACAACACAUGCCACCUCUAAGGUAAUAUCAUUCCAAGCACUAUUUUCUUCAAAAUCAGAGUGAAAUUUAUGAUAUGCCCCUAUCUAAAAUAAUCUUACAGCUGCUGACAAGAAAAGGUAUUAAUCUGCUACUGUUUCUACAUUUGUUUGCCUUUGGUUAGGUUAAGAUAAGAAUCCCGAAUAAUUAUUAUGUUUGUAAAAAGAAUGGCAACAUGCUAUCACAAUCCAUAUUUGAUGUUCCUGGUAGAUGAAUUACAUUAGUCAUUAUGCCUACUAUCCUGAAGCUCCGAUUUUGAUGGCAGAUCUUAUAUUUUCUGAAUGUUCUUUUCAGUGACAGUAAAGAGGAUUGGUGUGAACUUUAACUGCGAAUGUUCUUUUCAGUGACAAUGCAACAAGAUUGGUGUUGGUCUUAGCCGUGCUGGGGAAGAACUCAUCUCCAUGGCUACGCUUAUAAGUGUAUUAGUUGUUCAUAAUAUAUGUUCAAACUUAUCUCAAAGAAUCGGAAGCCAGAGGUCAAGCUUAAGAUUUUGAGUGGAAUCCAAAAGCUCAAGUUCUGGUACCAGCGGAUGCGCAUUGGGCUAAGCCUGUAUCAGCCGAGGGUGAUCAAGGCGCAGAUCACGAUGGGUCAAUGGGAACUCCCAAGAUGAUACAGAUCUGCCUGAAGAACAAACAUACUGCUCAUGUGGGAGGUGCAAUAAUAACUGGACAAAGUUCAAUCUUCUACGCGAGGCAAUGAUAUGCUCUCACUACUCAGGGAUGGAUACUCGAGAAGUUUAGAUGCUUAUAGAUUAUGUGGUAUGCAGCCCCGCUAACAUCAUUUUAUGUUUUAGUAAUAUCUUUCACCGUCAUUACGGACUUUCGUAGUCAAAUACCGUUUUAAUGAUAAAGUUUUGGAAAAUAAUUCAGGUAAUCAGAUUGUAGACCUAGUUGAAUGAGUAUUCAUUGUCCUGUUUUACAAUAAUGUAAUGUGUCAAUAAUUUAGACCGCUCAUACAGAAACAAAUAUGAUAUCAUUUGCUUUGAUACUGUUCUAA
This is an RNA transcript of Lolium perenne, 6075 nucleotides long. RefSeq lists it as uncharacterized. The record is from RefSeq and is a predicted model, not a curated record. Lineage: Eukaryota; Viridiplantae; Streptophyta; Magnoliopsida; Poales; Poaceae.